UACGGAGGGUGCAAGCGUUAUCCGGAUUCACUGGGUUUAAAGGGUGCGUAGGAGGGCAGGUAAGUCAGUGGUGAAAUCCCCGAGCUUAACUUGGGAACUGCCGUUGAUACUAUCUGUCUUGAAUAUUGUGGAGGUGAGCGGAAUAUGUCAUGUAGCGGUGAAAUGCUUAGAUAUCUGGAGGAAUACCGGUGGCGAAGGCGGCAUCCUGGACCGACAUUGACGCUGAGGAGCGAAAGCUAGGGGAGCAAACGGG
Molecule: ribosomal RNA, 253 nt
Filed under: uncultured bacterium
Lineage: Bacteria
Description: partial 16S ribosomal RNA
Rfam family: Bacterial small subunit ribosomal RNA
Source: RNAcentral